RNAcentral lists this long non-coding RNA (4855 nucleotides) under Xyrichtys novacula (pearly razorfish). Lineage: Eukaryota; Metazoa; Chordata; Actinopteri; Labriformes; Labridae. The record is from RNAcentral.
CAAAUGCAGCCAGAAGUAGGAAAAAUAGUCCUCUGCUGUGUUAUUUGUUGGUGUCAUGGGCUCUUCUAAAUGCUGUCAUGCAUCCAUAAUAACAUACUGCACAAGUAGCAUGCUGCCUGCCAGAGUACACUGCUACAACUGACCUGAAUAGACAAAAGCAAACAUAGGUUGCGUUAAACUGUCAGUCAUUGCUGUUUUGAAACUGGUUGGAUGGCAGCGGUUCAGAAACUACUUAAAGCUCCUGUGAGAAUUUCUCAACUGGAUAAGAAACAGACUGAAAUGAAGACUGAUAUCUCUCAGGACCUACAGAGGCACACAAAUCAUCUCUUUAGUGUAUUUUUUUAAUGCUCCGGACAGCUACUGUGGAGAAAGUAUCAGAUUCAGUGAGGAAACAGCCUGGGUUUACAUUUUCCACUAUAAGGGCCUGUUUCCACUCAUGUUGUUUGAGCUCUAACAGUGCCUGUCUUCUAUACAAAACUGAUACAGUCUAGUGUUUUAAAGGCUCAACAUCAAUAAUUAGAAAGUUACUACAGUAUUUUUUUUAAGUGACACAUUCCACAUUUGAUUGCUUUUACAUUAUCUUUUUAAAAUUUAGUAUAAAAAAGCAAAUAAAAAGUACAAUUUUGGUCUGAUCUACUUGAAACAGACUUAAUGUUCACUCUUUAAGGACGCAGAAUUGCAGCAGACAACUUUAUCCCUAUAAUGCCAGAAACCACAAAUUAUGUCCGGAAAAUUCUAAUUUUUGAUUUUGUUAAUUUAAGAUGUUUUUGGAAACUGAUAAACCACAGGAGGGCAUUUUUAACAUUUAUCGGACUGUAUUAAGGUGUUUUUUAGUAAUUUGUUGAUCAUAUUGAUUUGAUAGAAGUAUCAUAAAAGUAUGUUUCAAAUAUGAUACAAAAGGGAAUAAAGGGUUAUGAUCUUGGCAAUGAUAAAACCCAGUUAGAAAUGCUUAGAAAUUGGGAUUAUGCGAUCUGCCAGGGCCAAAAACAGCUGCUAGUGGACACAGGCCCUAAAGCUGGUAAAUAAGUGACUCAUGAGAGGAUGAAUUCUUAUUAAUAGUAUAACUGAAUGUAUUACCUUCAUCUGAAAUAUGAUAAAGAUGUAUAAGUCUUAAAAAAGUGUCAACCUGCACAGUUUCGAUUAUACCCUUAAACUGUAUCAAACAUGGGUGUAGUCUCACAGUUUUAGGGAUGCCUACUGAUCACCUUUUAAUCAAUCUAGUCACUAGCAAACAGGUGGGACUGAGGCGUUCGUUUGGCUUACAAUGCACCCAUCAAUUUGUCUAUUUGGCCAACAUCUUCUCUUACUUUUGAUGUUAUCUCAAAAGAUAUGUUAGAAUAAUGUUUGUAUCUUGUAUUACACACCAUAAAAAACAAGCAAUACUUUAAACUGUUAUUCAAAUCAGAUUGAAAUCAUUCUAAUUUUUGCUGUGAAUAUCAGCAUUUUAAUAUUGGACUGAAUGGGAAUCCUUGGCUCUUACAGCCAGCCUCAAGUGGACACUUGAGGAACUGCACUUUUAUUUGUACUUGUACAUUAGCUUCAUUUUCCAGCACCAGAGGUCACAUCCUGGUUCAGAAACGAAUUGACUGAUCACGUCAUCAUGUUGUAAAGCAGUGGGGUACACCAAACAGGCCACUAGACGAUCAUAGAGCCUUUACGCAGAGAUCGAAAACCAUUCAAACUGAUAUAAACAAAAGAAAAGCUGCUAACAGUUUAGAAUUGAUCCAAUCUGCUUUCACUGCACCACCACACUGCACCAUAAAAGUUAAACUCUAGUUAGGCUUAAUCAGCUGUAAUUGAACAGUUAUCUACUGAUACUAAAGAAUUUGUGUCAGUCUGUUCACAUUCAUCAGAACUGAAAUCAAGAGUAUUGUCAUUUUUUCUGGACUGAUUUCAGCUCAGAAAAACUGCAGCAAAGUUCUGAUUUAAAAGAAUAAAAACGUUUUUCUCUACUUGGAAACCGUGUAUCCUCUUCAAAUUUCAUGCCACGCUGAAAAACGAGGGCUGCAGUUGCAGUUUGCCUCCACCAUUCACCACAAUCUCCUAAAUCAUGCCGGGGGAGGAGGAUGAGGGGGGUUGUGGGUAAGCCAGCAUGUUUGUUUUACAGUGAUUAGCCUAUUAUGGGGUCCGCCGCUGCCAAGCCCCGCUGAGCGCUACACGCAUGCCUCUGUGACCUCGCUGAGCUGAGUGGGCGAGUCGCAGGCGUCAUUAUGGUGGCUGCGCUGUUCGCUGCCGUGGAAACCGGGCGGACUGAGGAAAGAGAGGUCUGCGAGUUCAACAUGUAAGGGGUCACAGGAGGUCAGACAGAGCUCACGCUGAUCUUUACUGUGUUGCAUCAGCGCGGUGGAGUAACGCUGCGCAGAGAGCUGCACAUCUCUGUGUGUCUGUGCACUUUUUAGAUUUCUGUUUAAGCUCCAGUUUCCCUCUGCAGUUGUAAGAGAAGCAGUUGUUUAUAGCCGUCAAUGACAGCUAUCCAAUCUGUGGUCACUCUGGCCUCACCGACCAAUGGAAACACAUUAUUAGGGAGGGGGGGUCGGUCGUCUGUGUGCUUUCUGGUCUUGUGUGUGUUUUGGGGGUUAGUGUGUGUUGCAUGUCCAUAAAAAUUGUGAAAGCUGCAUGAGGCUGUUGGUCACACUUGGCCCAUGCUGUCGGCCUUGUGGAUUUCCUAAAACAAACUGAAGCUCUGAAAACGCUGCGGUUUAUCUGGAAGCAGAGAGACUACAACUGCAUUUACAUAAGAAAAAAACGAAAACAAAACAAGAACAGAGUCGAAGAAAGCCACCAGAUACUCUGACUAUCAUUAUACUGAUGUUUUUUUCUUACAAAUAGUAGGUAAAUGUUUGGAAAAUAAUGCAAAAGCCGUUUUAAAAAGUUAUUAUCAAUGAUCUGUUUCCAAGUAAGCCAAUACAAUCAAAUACAGGCUGAGAUCUGGGAACAGUCGGCUCAAUUUUAACACUAUGACUCUGACAGCUACGAUAAACAAACAUCUUACAAGAAAAAUACUUAAUAUGUCAUAUGUGUGUUUUUUAAAGGUUAUAUGAAGUUUUUACAUGCCUCUGGAAAAACAACUGACAACUGUGUAACCACGACUUUUCACUUCCUGAAGUUUCUGAUCAAGUUUCUGAAGUUUCGUACAAAAGAACGGAGCUGCUGAGUGAACGACGUGAACUGAAUCACUCCGAGACCUGAAUCGUUCCUUUCUCAGUUCAGUUGAACUCAGCCGGGUGCCUGGCAUGCCGGUCGGGAGCGGAACUGCCGCCUUUGACUCUUUGGCGAAAAACACACAGCCAGUCAGCGAGCGGAGUCUCGUGAUUCACUCACAGCAAAUGAACGAUAUGUAUCAGUCAGUGAACAAAAUGUAUUAGUCAGUCAGUAAACGACACGGUGGACGAAACGAACAACUUCCAAAUGACUUUAUUCAGGCAGAGGAGGGAGGGGUGUAGUGUCACUUACUGCCGAGCACCGGUUCGUUCACUGAGGCUAAGAUAAAACAGUUCAUUAUAGUACACGUGUAUAAACUUUCCUGCAAGAAUGCAUUAAUUUUAGACGAUUCAAUGCAAUAUGCUAUUUGAUAUCUUUAAAAGUAGCAGAAUCCUCACUACGGCUGCGAUGUUUAUUUCUUUUUAAUCUCUGCACUUUUCCGCAAUAUAAAAGAACGAAGACUCACGCUCGUUUAACUCCUUUUUAUCAUCUAAUUUUCCAUAAUUCCAGAGAGCACUUAGGGAGAUGUUGGCUCUAAGCAUCUUGUAAAAUGGUCAAACUCCAUCUGCCCAUAAAGAUGUCCAAUACGAGAAAACGAUCCAGAGCUACGCCGUCGACCUUUCGCUCCUGACUCUUUCAGUUUAAGCCACAGAAUCGAAUAAGGAGCUUUUUUUGGACGUCUUACAUGGCUCAUUUUGAGGUUUUGUUUAUUUUCUCUUUAUGAAAUUCUACUUUAAUUUGCGGUUGCUAAGAACAUUGUUUGAUGCUUUGUAGAAACAGGCCUCAUAGUUCCUCUGGCACAAGAGGUUAUAGGAGAACAAUCUGCCUCCACAAGCCCGAAGAAGUGAGUUUGGUUACGCCUUCUAGUAGGUGAUGAUGAAAAGAUUAAGAGCGGAUUCUUUUCACACUUUUAAGCUACGGUCGCGUGUCUACGCCAGCUUAUUCAGAGCGGAGAGUUGAUCCAAAAGUGAGUCAGCCCUUCGCUGUCACGGAGGGCGAGGAUCACGCCCUUUUUCUAACCUUGCAGCAUCACAACCAGAGUGGGUCUACAAGGUGCGACUCCUUCACAGUCUCCCUUCAGGUUAUGUCUCAGGGGGGUAUAAGUGUAUUUGACACUUUAAGACCAGUAAAUAAAGGGCAAAUGUAUUGUUUUAUUGAUUUUAUAUUGGUAUAUUUUUUAGUUUAGGUUAUCUACAAACUGCUCAAACUUCUGAGCAAAAAUGUAAACUUCUGAACUUCCUGCCGCUCCUCUUCCACCGUUUUUAUGAAACCCAGUUACUGUUUUCUUUCCUGGUCAUGGGAGAUUCUUCUUCACUGUUCUUUAUAUUUAUUUUUGAAAAGUCUUAAAAAAAAUCAAACCCACAAGCAGUAUUUAAUAUUUUCUACCGGACCAUGUGAACCAGCUUGUGCUGUUCUGUCUCGCUGUGAUCAAUAAAGGAAGACUUAAUUCUGGUUAUUUAGAUAAGUCAUCCCAUAGAGAAUGGAAAACAGAGGCCUAUUUAUUUAAAUACUGUGACUCAGAGCAGAAAAACGACUCCAGAUAUACUAUCUGUCUCAAUAAGUCCAUACAUGCAUGCCCAUACGAACCCCGCUGGUCCUUCGAUUGCUUACCGUUACGCCCAAUAAACCAACAUCCCAGCCAAAAAGUGAAAGC